GACGAACGCUGGCGGCGUGCUUAACACAUGCAAGUCGAACGGAAAGGCCCUGCUUUUGUGGGGUGCUCGAGUGGCGAACGGGUGAGUAACACGUGAGUAACCUGCCCUUGACUUUGGGAUAACUUCAGGAAACUGGGGCUAAUACCGGAUAGGAGCUCCUGCUGCAUGGUGGGGGUUGGAAAGUUUCGGCGGUUGGGGAUGGACUCGCGGCUUAUCAGCUUGUUGGUGGGGUAGUGGCUUACCAAGGCUUUGACGGGUAGCCGGCCUGAGAGGGUGACCGGCCACGUUGGGACUGAGAUACGGCCCAGAGUCCUACGGGAGGCAGCAGUGGGGAAGAUUGCACAAUGGGCGGAAGCCUGAUGCAGCAACGCCGCGUGCGGGAUGACGGCCUUCGGGUUGUAAACCGCUUUCGCCUGGGACGAAGCGUGAGUGACGGUAAUGGGUAAAGAAGCACCGGCUAACUACGUG
This 468-nucleotide ribosomal RNA is filed under the name uncultured bacterium. Its description in RNAcentral is "partial 16S ribosomal RNA". It matches the Rfam family "Bacterial small subunit ribosomal RNA", at positions 28 to 507 of the family's 1533-position model. The record is from RNAcentral.